CCUCCAUUUCUUGGCAUACAUGCUGUUGCUCAGUACUGGUGUAUGUAUGUUUGGAGGUAGAUGAAGCCAAUGCUAUGUCACACAUUUCCACACGU
This is a small nucleolar RNA of Gadus chalcogrammus (walleye pollock), 95 nucleotides long. RefSeq annotates it as small nucleolar RNA SNORA57. Lineage: Eukaryota; Metazoa; Chordata; Actinopteri; Gadiformes; Gadidae. The record is from RefSeq and is a predicted model, not a curated record. The transcript has a single exon.